This 499-nucleotide ribosomal RNA is filed under the name uncultured bacterium. RNAcentral's name for it is "partial 16S ribosomal RNA". It matches the Rfam family "Bacterial small subunit ribosomal RNA", at positions 28 to 507 of the family's 1533-position model. The record is from RNAcentral.
GACGAACGCUGGCGGCGUGCUUAACACAUGCAAGUCGAACGGGCCCGCUCUCUUUUUUGGGGGUGGGUUGAGUGGCGAACGGGUGAGUAUCACGUGAGUAACCUGCCCCCUGCUCCUGGAUAACUGCUUGAAAGGGCGGCUAAUACGGGGUGUGCCGGCUGGUCCGCAUGGGCCUGGUCGGGAUAGUUUCAUCUUCGGGUGUUUCGGUGGGGGAUGGGCUCGCGGCCUAUCAGCUUGUUGGUGGGGUGAUGGCCCACCAAGGCGGUGACGGGUAGCCGGCCUGAGAGGGUGGGCGGCCACACUGGGACUGAGACACGGCCCAGACGCCUGCGGGAGGCAGCAGUGGGGGGUAUUGCACAAUGGGCGGAAGCCUGAUGCAGCGACGUCGCGUGAGGGAUGGAGGCCUUCGGGUUGUGAACCUCUUUCUCCGGUGGUGAAGGCCCUGUCCGUUGCGGCGGGGUUGACGGUAGCCGGGUAUGAAGCGCCGGCUAACUACGUG